GCUCUGUGAGGCAGAAGCUUGGAAACUGCAGCUCUGAAGAGGAGCUUCGUCCUAGAAGGCGGGGCUAGGUCCACCCAGGCGUUUGGCACAGUUGAAUGGUUAGAGAACAUCUCAAACGAGCAUGAAUGAAUCAAGUCAACACUCCAGGUAGGUUUUUAGAUGAGGGAAUAACAUUAUAACACAAUGUAAGGCUCAAAAAAGUUGUUUUUUGGAA
Xiphophorus couchianus (Monterrey platyfish) is the source of this 214-nucleotide long non-coding RNA. RefSeq lists it as uncharacterized. Lineage: Eukaryota; Metazoa; Chordata; Actinopteri; Cyprinodontiformes; Poeciliidae. The transcript has 3 exons. The record is from RefSeq and is a predicted model, not a curated record.